GCCGUGGGCAGAGGGGACGCGCCGCCGGGACGGCUGGGCUCGCGGGGGCUCGUCGGGCGCGGUCGGUCGGUCGGGGCUGGGUCCGGCUGCCGCGCUCCCCCUGCGUGUCCGGGAGUCGGGGCGCGCGGCCGGGGUCCCGGGCGGCGGGGCUCUUCUCUCCACAGCGCGGCGGACGCGGAUCGCGCGCUGGGUUCAGUGGUUCUUAACAGUUCAACAGUUCUGUAGCGCAAUUGUGAAAUGUUUAGGACCACUAGACCCGGCGGGCCUGCACGCAGCGACAGCAAUGGAGCGGCCCACGCGCGGCCCGGGAGCAGGGCCAGGGGCGGGGGCGCCUGGAAGGAGCCCUCGGACCCUGCGCCGCGCACCCUAGGCCGGCCCAGGCCCUCUGCACCUCGCCCGGCAGACCCCGAGGCCGGGCCUGGGGCCGAGCGCAGCGGGAGGCGGCGGGGCGUGAUGGCGCCGAGCGCUGGGAAGCGCUGGGAAGGGCUGGGAAGCGCUGGGAAGGGCUGGGAAGCCCUGGCAAGCGCUGGGAAGCCCUGGGAAGCGCUGGGAAGGGCUGGGAAGCGCUGGGAAGGGCUGGGAAGCGCUGGGAAGCCCUGGGAAGGGCUGGGGUUUGGGCGCGCCGGGCCCACGCUCCUGGCGUGCUGCCUGCGCGGAGAAGCCACUGCUGUCCUCCUGUAGCCCGAGCACCCCCCCACCCCUCCGACACUUAAAACUCCGUCGGCUUCCCAGCCGGGCUCUGGCGGUGGCCGCGCGGGGUGAAGGAGCUCUCCUAGCCCUCGGCCUCCCGGUCCUGGUGACGCGGCGGCCGCGCCCUCCGGGGCGGGAGUGGGUCGUGGGCUCGGGCUCGCUGGGGGAGAGCCGGAGCCUUCGCUUCGAAGGGGCCCGUGCGGGGCGAUUGCAGGCGCCCAGUGACAGCGUGUGGAAUGAAUGAAGGACCCCCAGGGACAGAAACGUGUGGGGGGGAGGAAGUUGGGAGACCACGCCCCAGGUAGGGGAACAAGCCCGCGGACUCGGUGGGCCGGACCGCCUUGGCCAGGGCGUCCCCUCUGCAGUGCGUCCUGGGAGCACGCGCCCGAUAGGUCCCGUGGGAGCCGCGGGAGCCCGCGUAUCUCUGGGAGGGGCUGGCCCCAGGGGGGGCUCAGCAAAGUGUCACCCCAUUCCCACCUCUCGCCAGGGCGAGGCGUCCCUCCCGGAGCAUGAGACUGACCUGCUCGGGAGCCUGCCUGGCCCGCGGGUGUGGCGCCACCCUCUGGGGAGGGAAGGUCCCUGCCUCCUUGGCCCCGGGAGUAGGGGAGCCGAAGGGCAGCCUGGAUGGCGGGUCGGACAGGCCUGGGUUUGAGGCCCACCGGAGGCGCGCGGACCAGCUGGAUGGCUUUAGGCCAGUCACCAGCUCUAAACUCUACUGCAGCCGCCUCUCGGGAGCACAGCAGGGCCAGGCCGGGUCCACGGUGCUCUGAGGGGUCCAGAGGGUCUCAGCAAGCAUGCUGACGCUGUCUCCUGAUCGCCAGUGGCAGCUUCAUUCGACAGUGUUCUUCCUGCCCCGCCUGCUCUGCCCCCAGCAGCCCGGAGGCAGGGGCUCCCCUGCUGGGGUCCAGGUGAGGGGUCAUGGGGUGUUGCCUAGUCUGUGGUCUGGAAUCAUUUUGUACGAUGUGAAUAUAUACAUUACAGACUGAUGAAAAUAAACAUAUGUUCUAAAGCA
Molecule: long non-coding RNA, 1702 nt
Organism: Lagenorhynchus albirostris (white-beaked dolphin)
Lineage: Eukaryota; Metazoa; Chordata; Mammalia; Artiodactyla; Delphinidae
Exons: 2
Source: RefSeq, a predicted model, not a curated record